AGCAGCCGCGGUAAUUCCAGCUCCAAUAGCGUAUAUUAAAGUUGUUGCAGUUAAAAAGCUCGUAGUUGAAUUUCGGGAUCAAUACGUCGGUCGUGCUUAGGUACGUACUGGCGUAAUUGAUUUCUCCCUUCUGACGAACCAUGAUGUCAUUAACUUGGUGUCAUGGGAAAUCAGGACUGUUACUUUGAAAAAAUUAGAGUGUUUAAAGCAGGCUCACGCUUGAAUACAUUAGCAUGGAAUAAUGAAAUAGGAUGUUUGAUUCUAUUUUGUUGGUUUCUAGGAUCGACGUAAUGAUUAAUAGGGAUAGUUGGGGGCAUUAGUAUUCAAUUGUCAGAGGUGAAAUUCUUGGAUUUAUUGAAGACUAACUACUGCGAAAGCAUUUGCCAAGGAUGUUUUCAUUAAUCAAGAACGAAAGUUAGGGGAUCGAAGACGAUCAGAUACCGUCGUAGUCUUAACCAUAAACUAUGCCGACUAGGGAUCGGAUGAUGUAAUUUUUAAUGA
This 501-nucleotide ribosomal RNA is filed under the name uncultured Glomus. RNAcentral's name for it is "SSU rRNA". It matches the Rfam family "Eukaryotic small subunit ribosomal RNA", at positions 569 to 1075 of the family's 1831-position model. The record is from RNAcentral. Lineage: Eukaryota; Fungi; Glomeromycota; Glomeromycetes; Glomerales; Glomeraceae.